Molecule: ribosomal RNA, 446 nt
Filed under: uncultured bacterium
Lineage: Bacteria
Description: partial 16S ribosomal RNA
Rfam family: Bacterial small subunit ribosomal RNA
Source: RNAcentral
UCCAGACUCCUACGGGAGGCAGCAGUGGGGGAUAUUGCACAAUGGGGGGAACCCUGAUGCAGCGACGCCGCGUGGGUGAAGGAGUAUUUCGGUAUGUGAAGCCCUAUCGGCAGGGAAGAAGCAAGACGGGACCUGACUAAGAAGCCCCGGCUAACUACGUGCCAGCAGCCGCGGUAAUACGUAGGGGGCGAGCGUUAUCCGGAUUCACUGGGUGUAAAGGGAGCGUAGACGGCCAAGCAAGCCAGAGGUGAAAGCCCGGGGCCCAACCCCGGGACUGCCCUUGGAACUGCUUGGCUGGAGUGCGGGAGGGGCAGGCGGAAUUCCUGGUGUAGCGGUGAAAUGCGUAGAUAUCAGGAGGAACACCGGCGGCGAAGGCGGCCUGCUGGACCGCGACUGACGUUGAGGCUCGAAAGUGUGGGGAGCAAACAGGAUUAGAUACCCUGGUA